GAGGGCACGCCAGGGAGUGUGUGGGAUUCGCAGGCCCCAAUAGUGAGGCAGCCAGGAGGGCCCCUCCCAGGACCUGGACAAGGAGAAGGAGCCACUCACCAGAAGAUCUGGGGAGCACGCUUGCAGGCAGAGGGAAGGGCAGGUGCAAAGGCCCUGAGGUGCAAAGGAGGGCAGCAGGCCUGCAGAACAGCAAGGAGGCAAGUGUGCAUGUAGGAGGGGGAGAGGAGGAAGGGAUAAGGUCACAGGCGAACCUGAGGAGGUUGGAUUCCAUUCUAGGGCUUUGUGCAGAGAGGCAACAUAAUCGGGCUUGUUUGGAGCGGAGCAGUCUGGCAAGAGAGCAAGCAGGGGCACCUGCUAAAAACCCAGCUCGUUCCCAAAUUUCGGGCAAAAUAACGCCGCGAACAGUGCCAUCCGUCCAUGCUGGGCCAAGGUCUGUCUGUCUUCGCCAGAGCUCAUAUAAUAACAACUGCAUUUGCCAUCCUGAGAACCCAGGCGCUGUUCUAAUCGCUCAAUGGCCACACCCGCCCUGGGGAGGAGGUAGUACUCAGAUCUCCAUUUUAUGAAUGAGCUCCAGACAGGUGGGGAUAUGAAUCACAACUGCCCGGCAGGUGUCCUGGGCACCAGCUCAGGUAGCCCUUUACCUGUGAAGGUUUCAGGCGGGUUGGAAGGGAGCUGACUGGGGACGAAGUGGACAAGGCAGGACAACUGGGGGUGUGUUCUCCCCAUCAGAGUGAGUGACUGUUUCCUGCCAGGAGAUCUCAAGCGCUGGUGGAAAGAGGCAGAGACUCAACUUUCUGCCCUCUCCCUGCCCUCAACCAUUCCUCCACCACUGAGCGGCCCCUUGAUGACUGGAAGACACCUCGUAUUGCCUCCCUAGGGCAGCUUCAUAAGCACUCUGCACUCUGGAAGAGACGGGUGCCGACGGUGGGAUUUUCACAAGAGGCAGGAUCCCCCCCCUCUCUGAAACCUGUAACACUCCCGAUGCGCUUUUGUUGCAAGAGGCUGAGGGCAGCUGCUGGCAGCAAAACGUAAAGGCAAAAACAUCACCUGAUGACUGAAACAGCCCGAGAAGGAGCAACAGGGGAGGCCACGGUCCUUUUUGUGGCACCGUGACUGCAGUAGAAGUCCCCAAGGACUGGCGACUGAUGCCCCGCCAUCAGAGGGCAAGUGUGGAAGGCACUCAAAGGUCUGACUGCUGGCCCUUGCCCUUUAUUUGUGCUGUCAGUAACCAACCAGUUUGGGAGUGACCCGAAGGGAAACCAGCAUCCCUGGCAGGCAGGAUUUUGCCUCCUGCUUCAUCAGCAACAGGUCACGAAUGAACGAACGAACGAACGAAUGAAUGACACUGAUGCACAUACGGUUCAUGUUUAUAUUUAUACACGAUCUGUAUUUUAUCAUUAAAGAUCAAAGAUGCAUUUUAUAGA
Long non-coding RNA from Herpailurus yagouaroundi (jaguarundi), 1424 nucleotides. RefSeq lists it as uncharacterized. The transcript is spliced from 2 exons. NCBI's taxonomy places the organism in Eukaryota, Metazoa, Chordata, Mammalia, Carnivora, Felidae. The record is from RefSeq and is a predicted model, not a curated record.